Molecule: ribosomal RNA, 1507 nt
Filed under: Helicobacter pylori
Lineage: Bacteria; Pseudomonadati; Campylobacterota; Epsilonproteobacteria; Campylobacterales; Helicobacteraceae
Description: bacterial SSU rRNA
Rfam family: Bacterial small subunit ribosomal RNA
Source: RNAcentral
UUUUAUGGAGAGUUUGAUCCUGGCUCAGAGUGAACGCUGGCGGCGUGCCUAAUACAUGCAAGUCGAACGAUGAAGCUUCUAGCUUGCUAGAAGUGGAUUAGUGGCGCACGGGUGAGUAACGCAUAGGUCAUGUGCCUCUUAGUUUGGGAUAGCCAUUGGAAACGAUGAUUAAUACCAGAUACUCCCUACGGGGGAAAGAUUUAUCGCUAAGAGAUCAGCCUAUGUCCUAUCAGCUUGUUGGUAAGGUAAUGGCUUACCAAGGCUAUGACGGGUAUCCGGCCUGAGAGGGUGAACGGACACACUGGAACUGAGACACGGUCCAGACUCCUACGGGAGGCAGCAGUAGGGAAUAUUGCUCAAUGGGGGAAACCCUGAAGCAGCAACGCCGCGUGGAGGAUGAAGGUUUUAGGAUUGUAAACUCCUUUUGUUAGAGAAGAUAAUGACGGUAUCUAACGAAUAAGCACCGGCUAACUCCGUGCCAGCAGCCGCGGUAAUACGGAGGGUGCAAGCGUUACUCGGAAUCACUGGGCGUAAAGAGCGCGUAGGCGGGAUAGUCAGUCAGGUGUGAAAUCCUAUGGCUUAACCAUAGAACUGCAUUUGAAACUACUAUUCUAGAGUGUGGGAGAGGUAGGUGGAAUUCUUGGUGUAGGGGUAAAAUCCGUAGAGAUCAAGAGGAAUACUCAUUGCGAAGGCGACCUGCUGGAACAUUACUGACGCUGAUUGCGCGAAAGCGUGGGGAGCAAACAGGAUUAGAUACCCUGGUAGUCCACGCCCUAAACGAUGGAUGCUAGUUGUUGGAGGGCUUAGUCUCUCCAGUAAUGCAGCUAACGCAUUAAGCAUCCCGCCUGGGGAGUACGGUCGCAAGAUUAAAACUCAAAGGAAUAGACGGGGACCCGCACAAGCGGUGGAGCAUGUGGUUUAAUUCGAAGAUACACGAAGAACCUUACCUAGGCUUGACAUUGAGAGAAUCCGCUAGAAAUAGUGGAAUGUCUAGCUUGCUAGACCUUGAAAACAGGUGCUGCACGGCUGUCGUCAGCUCGUGUCGUGAGAUGUUGGGUUAAGUCCCGCAACGAGCGCAACCCCCUUUCUUAGUUGCUAACAGGUCAUGCUGAGAACUCUAAGGAUACUGUCUCCGUAAGGAGGAGGAAGGUGGGGACGACGUCAAGUCAUCAUGGCCCUUACGCCUAGGGCUACACACGUGCUACAAUGGGGUGCACAAAGAGAAGCAAUACUGCGAAGUGGAGCCAAUCUUCAAAACGCCUCUCAGUUCGGAUUGUAGGCUGCAACUCGCCUGCAUGAAGCUGGAAUCGCUAGUAAUCGCAAAUCAGCCAUGUUGCGGUGAAUACGUUCCCGGGUCUUGUACUCACCGCCCGUCACACCAUGGGAGUUGUGUUUGCCUUAAGUCAGGAUGCUAAAUUAGCUACUGCCCACGGCACACACAGCGACUGGGGUGAAGUCGUAACAAGGUAACCGUAGGUGAACCUGCGGUUGGAUCACCUCCUUUCUA